This 480-nucleotide ribosomal RNA is filed under the name Triticum aestivum (bread wheat). RNAcentral describes it as "partial small subunit ribosomal RNA". The record is from RNAcentral. Lineage: Eukaryota; Viridiplantae; Streptophyta; Magnoliopsida; Poales; Poaceae.
ACGGAGGAAGGUGCAGAAUUGCGCGUUGUCAUUUAUAAACUAAUUGUUAGAGUUCUUUGAUUUGUUGCAAAACUUGAUGAUGGCAGCGAGCAUCAAGUUGCCCAAUAUGAUGUGGAGUUUGAGGUUAACAUGAAACGUUUUUCGGUUGAAAAAAUGAUAGAACUCAUUGGGUCCAAAAUUGUUUGGGGGAGCGGACAAGAGGUCCAUAUUUUGUGCAAGGACAAGCAUUUUGACUCAGUUGAGAGGAUUGAUGUAUACUGGAAGUUGCUGACAUCAUUUCUUGAGAGAUGGGAAGAGAAAGAAUUGCUUGUGCUUGCUCAAGUUGUGGAAAUUGCAAAGGGGUUUACGGCAUCAUCUUGUUCAGAAAAUAUCCCAUCUAGUGAGAUAGUCGACAACAUCAUUUCCUCAAGUUCUGAUGUUUACCAGUCAAAUGCUAGUAGUGCAUCAUGUGUUGACGAUGGUAAUGUGCUUUGUAAAUGA